UGAUGGAGCAACUUAGGUCCUGGUGACAGAGGCAUGUGGUGGAAGAUACUCACAUCAUGAUGGACUAGGAAAUAUACAUCAAGUCAGGAAUCAGGGGCUGGGUAUUUUAUAUAUAUGUGUGUGUGUGUGUGUGUGUGUGUGUGUGUGUGUGUGUAUACAUAUACAUGUAAAAUGUAAUAUAUAAUAUAUAUUAUAUACACAUAUAUUAUAUUAUAUUGUAUUAUAUUAUAUUACAUAUUAAUACAUAUUAUAUAUAUAUAAUAUAUGUAUAAAUGUAUUAUAUACAAUGUUCUUCAGAUAUAUAAUAUAUCCUCCAUAGUUUUGCUUGUAAGCAUGGACUUUUUUACCUGGCUUGUUUGUUCUCAGAAAUAACUACCCUUGAGACUUAAUAUUUUAUGAAGAAAUGUGUAGGCUAAAAGCUUAGGCUUGUUCCCUGACUAGCUCAUAACUAAAUUAUCCAUUUAUUAUUUUCUAAGUUCUGUCAGAUGCCUUGUUACCUCUCUGCAGUUUCGUGUGACCCUCUCCUUCAGUGUUGGGGCAAUCUCUCAUGCCUAUUUCUCAGAAGCUGAUAUCUCUCUGCCAAAUAUCCCAUGGGCCAUAGGCUUUUUAUUGAUAGGUGAUGCUUCCAUACACUGCACAAGAGAUUCUUUCUACAUCUUCCUUUAAUGACUUAACUUUUAGCUAGGUUUCCAAUACCAAUAUCAAAACCAACACCAAAACCAGAACCAAAACUAAACAAAAAGCAUCAAUAAGAAGGUCCAAGUUUUUAAACCAUGAACCUGUGGAGGAAGGGGGGUUAUGUGACUGCUUUCGUCAAGAAAGCUCCUUAACCAGAAAAGCAAACAACUCAAAGUAGCUUCAGGAAGUUCCUGAAACUGACCAGAUUCACUAGGCCCCUCCCUGCGACAGUGAGUAAUAAAAGUUGAGAGUCCCUUCAGACUGAAGAGAGAUAAUCUGCAAAGAUGUAAUAAUCUAGGACCAUCUAUGUUCACUUGAUAUCAAGGGAUAUCAAGUGAUACUAAGUCAUAUGUAUUGUUACCCUCUCUAUAUGCUAGGUUCUGUCCUGUACGUCAGAAAUAGGUUGUAUUCCUUAAGCUUCAUAGGAAGGAUGUGAGGAAGAUGAUAUCUUAGGAGUUGGCUCCCAAAUUUCCUAAUAGCACAUGACAUUGGUUGGUCGAGUUUGUGAUGUUUUGACUUUGAGGGGGUGGUUCCUAUGAUUCCCCCAAAAUAGAUGCUG
RNAcentral lists this long non-coding RNA (1237 nucleotides) under Mus musculus (house mouse). RNAcentral's name for it is "long non-coding RNA chr10:118875577-118876814". The record is from RNAcentral. Lineage: Eukaryota; Metazoa; Chordata; Mammalia; Rodentia; Muridae.